RNAcentral lists this non-coding RNA (23 nucleotides) under Rattus norvegicus (Norway rat). The record is from RNAcentral. Lineage: Eukaryota; Metazoa; Chordata; Mammalia; Rodentia; Muridae.
UGAUCCUGUUUCCAAGAAGGCCU